Molecule: non-coding RNA, 556 nt
Organism: Salvia hispanica
Lineage: Eukaryota; Viridiplantae; Streptophyta; Magnoliopsida; Lamiales; Lamiaceae
Source: RefSeq, a predicted model, not a curated record
AAAUCUUUCUCUAUCUACAGCCGCCAGCCUGCGCAGACAUCAUUCAUCUUCUUACUUUUCUUCUUCCCAAGAUUGGGAACUAGACUUUUGUACGACCGCCACCAUAGAAAUGUCGACGUUGUCUACUAAUGGUUCGGAACAAGGAAAUGGGUGUAGGUGGCUAAGAUUCCAGUAUGAGAAGUGUUGGUGUCGGGAAAGAGCUUGUUUGAAAAUAGUUACCGAUUCGAGGCGAGCAUCGUACGGGAUGUUGUACUUUGUGUGCGAGAAGAAAGAAAAAAUUGGUGGGUGCAAUUUCUUCCGGUGGAGUGUUUGAGAGACUGCCCAACCGAAGGUCCGGCGGAGUGUUUGAGAGACUGUCCAACCGAAGGAAAAGUUCAAAGCAAUGGAAAUUUCAGUGAAGAAGGUAGAGGUAGAAGCAACGACAGAUUGAUUGUUUUACUUGCUUUUGGUGGUUUUCUUUUUGCACUUUUUGCCUUUCUGAUUACUUUGAUAAAGUAAUCAGUAUGUUGUGUUGUAAUGUAAUCAAAUAAAUUUUAGUAUAUUGCAUUGUUGACUA